This 72-nucleotide transfer RNA is filed under the name Camelus bactrianus (Bactrian camel). It matches the Rfam family "tRNA". From Rfam's summary of the family: Transfer RNA (tRNA) molecules are approximately 80 nucleotides in length. Lineage: Eukaryota; Metazoa; Chordata; Mammalia; Artiodactyla; Camelidae. RNAcentral also lists the same sequence under 2 other names. The record is from Rfam by way of RNAcentral.
GUAGGUAUAGCUCAGUGGUAGAGCAUAUGCUUAGCAUGCACAAGGUUGGGGGUUCAAUCCCCAGUACCUCCA